GAAAGUGCGGCGAGAGAUUAGGCAUGGCAGUCGAACGAAUCCCAGCUUUGUAGCAAUACCGAGCUGGGGGAAGUGGCGCAUUGGGCAGUAAGGCGUGGGUAACCUACCCCGGGGACUGGGCUAGCCUCCCUAACGGGAGGGUAAUACCGGGCGAUUCGGCGAGGCCGCAUGGUUUUGCCGGGAAAUGAGUUUCGCCUCGGGAGGGGCUCACGUGAUAUUAGCUUGUUGGCGGGGUAACGGCCCACCAAGGCCAAGAUGUCUAGCGGGUGUGAGAGCACGACCCGCGCCACUGGCACUGAGACACUGGCCAGACUCCUACGGGAGGCUGCAGUCGAGGAUCUUCGGCAAUGGGCGCAAGCCUGACCGAGCGACGCCGCGUGCGCGAUGAAGGCCUUCGGGUUGUAAAGCGCUGUCGAGGGGGAGGAAGCCGCAAGGUUGACCUAUCCCUGGAGGAAGCACGGGCUAAGUUCGUGCCAGCAG
Molecule: ribosomal RNA, 480 nt
Filed under: uncultured bacterium
Lineage: Bacteria
Description: bacterial SSU rRNA
Rfam family: Bacterial small subunit ribosomal RNA
Source: RNAcentral